Long non-coding RNA from Manis pentadactyla (Chinese pangolin), 937 nucleotides. RefSeq lists it as uncharacterized. The record is from RefSeq and is a predicted model, not a curated record. The transcript has 2 exons. NCBI's taxonomy places the organism in Eukaryota, Metazoa, Chordata, Mammalia, Pholidota, Manidae.
CCGGGCAGCGCCAGGAGCCCGGGACGGCGGGGCGGGCGGCUGGCACAUAGUGGGGCCCCGCGCCACCCGGGAAGAGGGCGGGCGAUGGGCACACAGCGGACGCGUGUGCUCAGGGGUGGGCUGAACCGCGGGAAAGGGGCCUGCACCUCCGGCCGCGCCUCCCGCCGCCCACCUGCCCCAACCGCCUGGCAGACGCCCGGCUGCCCUUCAUGCACCCAAGGCGAAAGAGUCGGAAAGCAGCUAUCCUUGCCCAGCGUCCCUUAUACAGGGAAGAAAAUGAGGUUCAGAGGGACCAAAUGCCCUAACAAGUUGAUGAAUCCGAUUCAAACCGAGGUCUCCCACCGACUUGGGCCAAGAGGCCCCCGCUGGGUGCCCCCCGCCCCGCCCCCCCGCGGGCUGCCCCGUCACCUCCAUGGUUCCCGCAGAAAGCGCUGCGCUUUGCCCCGUCUGGCCGCGGGCCCGCUGGCUCCCGCCGCUGCGCCCGGCUUCCCGCCUUCCGGCCCACCCCGCAGGAAAUGGGUCCGCGGCCUUUCCGCCAGGCCCUAGGGGCCGCCCGCGAUGGGCUCAAGGCCCUGGCCCUGGCGGGGGGCGCGAUGGCACGCGCAGGGGCUGCUGAGGCACUCACCCAUUCCUCGGGUGCUGCGAGCCCCGACAUGGCCACUCAGGUGGCCUUCUUUGAGAAGCCUUUAAUCCAGCAGCAGAGACCUGCCAGUGGGGCAGCCGGAGGAGGGCUCCUGUUGACUGACGACGGAUCCCCCUCCCUGCCCCACCGAGGCCCACAGGGGACCAACAGGAGGGGCCUCGACGUUCCUGGCUUGGAUCCUGGGAGCAGAGGAACUAUAAAGAAAGCUGGAGCUAUGACCCAGACUUUCGUGUCCUUCCCCUGCUCCCAAUAAAAGCAGUCUGCCAAUCCCCUGCCCUCCCAGCCCACCCCUCA